AGCGAACGCUGGCGGCAGGCCUAACACAUGCAAGUCGAACGAACCUUUCGGGGUUAGUGGCGGACGGGUGAGUAACACGUGGGAACGUGCCUUUAGAUUCGGAAUAACUCAGGGAAACUUGUGCUAAUACCGAAUGUGCCCUUCGGGGGAAAGAUUUAUCGCCUUUAGAGCGGCCCGCGUCUGAUUAGCUAGUUGGUUGAGGUAAUGGCUCACCAAGGCGACGAUCAGUAGCUGGUCUGAGAGGAUGAUCAGCCACAUUGGGACUGAGACACGGCCCAAACUCCUACGGGAGGCAGCAGUGGGGAAUCUUGCGCAAUGGGCGAAAGCCUGACGCAGCCAUGCCGCGUGAAUGAUGAAGGUCUUAGGAUUGUAAAAUUCUUUCACCGGGGACGAUAAUGACGGUACCCGGAGAAGAAGCCCCGGCUAACUUCGUG
This 434-nucleotide ribosomal RNA is filed under the name uncultured bacterium. RNAcentral's name for it is "partial 16S ribosomal RNA". It matches the Rfam family "Bacterial small subunit ribosomal RNA", at positions 29 to 507 of the family's 1533-position model. The record is from RNAcentral.